GGCUGUUGCUACAUCACAGUCACUAAUGCUUAGGGCUUGACCAAAACCUCUUUUCACUCCUUAAAAGCCUCUUUGUCCCAAAUUUUGUCUAGAACAUCUCGUUCCUAAGAUACAUCUCUUUCAUUCCCAUUUCUUUUCCUUUUUCACCCUGAGGGUCAUUUACAAUCUCAGCUCCUUCACUGUUUUGUUUUGUUUCCUUUCCAGGGACCAGUUUGAACCAGGAACCUCUGGAAAGAAAUGAGUCCUAAAUGGAUGGUAACAUUUCCCUCUUGUAUUGGGAACACUUAUUUGAGAGGAGUGAAGGAAUUAAAAAGGCCUCUGCACAUUUCUUAUGAAUUCUUGCUAAAAAAUAAAAAUCAAAGAAAUCUUUCAUGUUUUCUUUUAAUUUAGCCUCAAUGGAAAAUAGCUAAGGUAAAAAGGACAUCUUGGGGGUUCUCCAAAUACAAAAUUAUUUCUACCUGGGUUUAGGAUCAAUAGAAUGACAUUUUAUAGAGAUCACAAA
This 502-nucleotide long non-coding RNA is filed under the name Capra hircus (goat). RNAcentral's name for it is "lncRNA (ENSCHIG00010008584.1)". Lineage: Eukaryota; Metazoa; Chordata; Mammalia; Artiodactyla; Bovidae. The record is from RNAcentral.